UUAGGUUUCUGGCUAUUUUUUUUUGUGUUCCAGCUAAUCUUGGCCCAUCAGAACUAUUCAUUCAUCAACUAGGUUUGUCCUUCUGCGUGGUUACUGUUCACUCUCUGUUCAUUCACGCGGCUUCGUACCAAAUGGAAUGGGUGAGGCUUGUACGAUAGAAAAGGGGUUUCUUGAAUGAAGAAGGAGACAACUUGCUCUCUUUGCAGGAGUACAGGAAGCAGAAGCACAAAUCAUGGGAGAAGGUUCAAUUUCGUCAGAUGAAUAGUUAACCUACCCCUAUGCCGGCUUUGCGAAUGACCUUCUACUUGUAGAGGUAUGGGUAUGGGUUUUCAUUUUUUAAUAUUAAGGUUUUCAUCCCAAGCUCUCUAUAAAUACUGCCAUUGUUAUCAUGUUUUUGCUGUUUGUUAUGGCUGGAUCAUUGAAUCCCCUGCGCUCCAUAUGCAUUGGGAGAGAUCCUGCAAGAGAUACUUGGAGAGUCAAGGUUCGCAUUCUUCGUAUUUGGUAGAUGUUUCCAGUUGGUGAACCCUCAAAACCAUAUGUUGUGCAUCUUGUGCUUAUUGAUGGAGAAGUUAUAUACCAGUGCUGUUAUUUCUUUUUUGUUAGUCAUCUUAUAGUUUCUACAUGUAUAUAAUAUCAAUUAUCCUUUUUGUACUCAAGGUCAUCUAUUCAAGUUCUCUAUAAAUACUGGCAUGGUUUAUCUGUUUUACCCAUCUUGUUUCUGUGUUUGUUCCUUUGGUAGUAGUAUCUAAGCUCAACACACCCCUCCUUUAUCUUUUUUGAUUUCGUCUGAUUGAUGAACUAUGAACAUCUGAAAAUACGCCCCCCUCAUCCGGCAUACAUGAAAAUAUGCUUGAAAAUUGUUAACCUCGGGUUGGAUGAUAUUUGCAAUAGACGAGAAUAUCUGAAAAUUGUUAACCUCGGGUUGAAUGAUAUUUGUUGGUCGAGAUAUAUGCUUGAAUUUAGAGUUGAUUUGGUUUUUGUUACCUAUGAACAUAAUAUUGGAGGUGGCUUAAUCUUUUAUUUGUAGGCUAUUCUAGAGGAGCUAAGAACGGAUUUGGACAAGGCUAGGAAAGGAAAGCCCCCUUCAAAGAGUCCAGAUGGAAAUUUAUGAUCUUCAUUUUUAUUGUUUCAGUUUUAAUGUUUUCUGAUCAAGUGGGUAAUGUUGACUGUUUGCUAAUUUAAGUAGAUUGAAAAUGAAAAUAUUUUAGUGAGCGCUGUUUAUAAUCUCAAAUUUUGAAUUUUCUUAUAGAAUGGUUGGCCAUGUAUUUUAGUAUCGAGCUCAAUUUUGAACUAAGAAGCAUAAUUUCUUCCUCGGAUUUUUUUCUCCACUAUGCAUUAUCUUAACAAACAGUUUGCUGAACUGAAGCUUUUCCUGUGAACAUUAAACCCUAAACCCUGAUACUAGAGUCAAAUCAACCACAAAGAGGAAAGAAUGAGGCAACGAUGGUUUUCAAUUUCCAGAAGAACAACUCAAUGUUUUGUUAAUCUUUCUAUGCUAGAAAGAAUUAGAUGCUCUCUUAGCAACAGAGAAGACCCUCAAAUCAUAUUCCAUCUUAUUUAUCUAUAUUUGUUUUCACUCUUUCUAGAGACAUCUCAAAGGAAUGUGUCGUAAGAGAAAUGGAAGAGAAAAUGUACUAAAGUUUGAAAAUCAAAACGGUUGAUGGUGAAGAAAAAUGAGGUAUUGGAAUAAUCAAGGAAUUGUCACUACCUUACCAUCUUCAAGAUGCAAUUUUGGAUGUAGGUGCAUAAGAGCCCACGUGUUCUCGAGCUGGACAAAAGUCAGUUGUUAGAUGAGAGAAGAUCAUCAUUGUCUUAUGGUUUAUUCAUCUAUUUAUCGAGGUGAUUGGGUACAAAAGAUGACGAAGGUUACCUGUGAUUUUGGCGAUACAAUGUAGAAAGAGGCAGUGUCUUCUA
Molecule: long non-coding RNA, 1914 nt
Organism: Lotus japonicus
Lineage: Eukaryota; Viridiplantae; Streptophyta; Magnoliopsida; Fabales; Fabaceae
Exons: 3
Source: RefSeq, a predicted model, not a curated record